AAUGAACGCUGGCGGCGUGCUUAACACAUGCAAGUCGUACGAGAAAGCCGAAUUUCGAUUUGGCGAGUAAAGUGGCGCACGGGUGAGUAACGCGUAGGUAACCUGCCCUUCAGUUGGGAACAACUCAUCGAAAGGUGGGCUAAUACCGAAUAACACUGCUAGGCUUUGGUCGAGCAGUCAAAGAGAGCCUCUGCUUGCAAGCCCUCGCUGAAGGAUGAGUCCGCGUACCAUUAGCUAGUUGGCAGGGGUAAUGGCCUACCAAGGCGACGAUGGUUAGCUGGUCUGAGAGGAUGAUCAGCCACACUGGAACUGAGAUACGGUCCAGACUCCUACGGGUGGCUG
This 342-nucleotide ribosomal RNA is filed under the name uncultured Pseudomonadota bacterium. RNAcentral describes it as "bacterial SSU rRNA". It matches the Rfam family "Bacterial small subunit ribosomal RNA", at positions 29 to 351 of the family's 1533-position model. The record is from RNAcentral. Lineage: Bacteria; Pseudomonadati; Pseudomonadota.